RNAcentral lists this ribosomal RNA (433 nucleotides) under uncultured bacterium. RNAcentral's name for it is "partial 16S ribosomal RNA". It matches the Rfam family "Bacterial small subunit ribosomal RNA", at positions 29 to 507 of the family's 1533-position model. The record is from RNAcentral.
AACGAACGCUGGCGGCAUGCCUAACACAUGCAAGUCGAACGAGACCUUCGGGUCUAGUGGCGCACGGGUGCGUAACGCGUGGGAACCUGCCCUUAGGUUCGGAAUAACUCCCCGAAAGGGGUGCUAAUACCGGGUAAUGUCUUCGGACCAAAGAUUUAUCGCCUUUGGAUGGACCCGCGUUGGAUUAGCUAGUUGGUAGGGUAAAAGCCUACCAAGGCGACGAUCCAUAGCUGGUCUGAGAGGAUGAUCAGCCACACUGGGACUGAGACACGGCCCAGACUCCUACGGGAGGCAGCAGUGGGGAAUAUUGGACAAUGGGCGAAAGCCUGAUCCAGCAAUGCCGCGUGAGUGAUGAAGGCCUUAGGGUUGUAAAGCUCUUUUACCCGGGAUGAUAAUGACAGUACCGGGAGAAUAAGCUCCGGCUAACUCCGUG